AGCGGCGGACGGGUGAGUAACGCGUGGGUAACCUGCCUCAUACGCAUGGAUAACAUACCGAAAGGCAUGCUAAUACAAGAUGAUAUAAGAGAUUCGCAUGGAUUUCUUAUCAAAGCUCCGGCGGUAUGAGAUGGACCCGCGUCUGAUUAGCUAGUUGGUAAGGUAACGGCUUACCAAGGCGACGAUCAGUAGCCGACCUGAGAGGGUGAUCGGCCACAUUGGAACUGAGACACGGUCCAAACUCCUACGGGAGGCAGCAGUGGGGAAUAUUGCACAAUGGGCGAAAGCCUGAUGCAGCAACGCCGCGUGAGCGAUGAAGGCCUUCGGGUCGUAAAGCUCUGUCCUCAAGGAAGAUAAUGACGGUACUUGAGGAGGAAGCCCCGGCUAACUACGUGCCAGCAGCCGCGGUAAUACGUAGGGGGCUAGCGUUAUCCGGAUUUACUGGGCGUAAAGGGUGCGUAGGUGGUUUCUUAAGUCAGGAGUGAAAGACUACGGCUCAACCGUAGUAAGCUCUUGAAACUGGGAAACUUGAGUGCAGGAGAGGAAAGUGGAAUUCCUAGUGUAGCGGUGAAAUGCGUAGAUAUUAGGAGGAACACCAGUAGCGAAGGCGGCUUUCUGGACUGUAACUGACACUGAGGCACGAAAGCGUGGGGAGCAAACAGGAUUAGAUACCCUGGUAGUCCACGCCGUAAACGAUGAGUACUAGGUGU
RNAcentral lists this ribosomal RNA (710 nucleotides) under uncultured bacterium. Its description in RNAcentral is "bacterial SSU rRNA". It matches the Rfam family "Bacterial small subunit ribosomal RNA", at positions 94 to 823 of the family's 1533-position model. The record is from RNAcentral.